UGGAGGCUGUAGUGAGCUGUGGUCAUGCCACUGCUCUCCAGCCUGGGCAACAGAGCAAGACCCUGACUCUAAAAAGCAAACAAACAAACAAAAGGGCAGGCUGAUCAUACCUGAAAAAUGUGAUUGGUACCAAGAAACAGAGCUGUAAAACCUGUACCGAAUCCAUAAACCAGGAACCCAGACUAGCCACCUUAACCCUUACAUAGAUCUGGACAGCUGUGGAAAUAAACCAGGAGGGUGGCCUCAAGGAGUACUGGGCUUUCCAGAACCUUCUGGAACCUUCUGGAAGCCUGAGGAGGAGCAGGAUAGAGGUCUCUGGCCCGCUGUGGGCAGUUGAGUAAUCCCCCCGAUUCCUGGCCCCUUAGGCAGUUAGCCACCCACUCUCGAUUACAGGCGUGAGCCACCACACCUGGCCUGGUUAUCUUUGAUUAUGUUCCAGACUUUAUAUUUGAAAAUUGUUCAUAGAAGUAACUUGAGCCUGAAAGAAUGUUGUCUAUUUAUCUUCAGAGAGGAUUUUCUUUUCCUUCUGUUGGACACUGAGGGUGACCAGCAGUCUAGGGCAAUCUUGGAAAUGGAGCUUUCUGGAGCACCCAGCCAAACUGAAGGUGUGCUGCAGCCAGUGUGAGGCUUGGUUUACUUCUUCUGGUUCAUGCUUUUUUUUUUUUUUUUUUUUUAAAAGCAGUCUCACCCUAUUGCCCAGGCUGGAGUGCAAUGGUGCGAUCUCAGCUCACUGCAACCUCCGCCUCCCGGGUUCAAGCGAUUCUCCUGCCUCAGCUUCCCAAGUAGCUGGGAUUAUAGGCGCCCACCACCAUACCUGGCUAAUUUUUGUAUUUUUAGUGGAUAUGGAGUUUCACCACGUUGGUCAGGCUGGUCUCGAACUCCUGACCACAAGUGAUCCACCCUCCUCGGCCCCCCAAAGUGCUGGGAUUACAGGCGUGAGCCACCACACCUGGACUGGUUCAUCCUUAAGUCUUGGAUGCAGCCCUUUGGGGUUCUAACCACAAGUACAGAGAGGUUUGCCAGGGCCUGAUUCUUGGUAGGUACCCAAGUCGCCAAAGCCCUGGUCAGCGUCUCAGUCAUGUGAUCUGGAUGUAGGUCUCUCUGACCUGCAUCCUCUCAUCUCUCUGAUCUGAAUGAACUCUCUGAUGUG
Molecule: long non-coding RNA, 1150 nt
Filed under: Homo sapiens (human)
Lineage: Eukaryota; Metazoa; Chordata; Mammalia; Primates; Hominidae
Description: non-protein coding lnc-ALDH3A2-7:1
Source: RNAcentral